ACUGUAUUUACAUGUACAUUGACAGACACCACCAAGAACCCUAAACGGAGAUUCAGAUUGAAAGCAUUAAUAACCCUAAUGCGAUGCGAUGCGAUGCGAGAAGAGAAAGAGCAAAAAGAGAGAGAUGGUGAAGAGAAGAGGAUGUUUUGAUUGGAGCCUACGGGAAUGGAAAGGAAAGGGAUUUGCGGUUGAAGAGUUAGGCUGACCUAGACAACUCCUGCCAGCUAUGUAUCUAACCACUUCUUUAUCAUUUUCUUUUUAAUUUUUACCCCUCACAAAUGAUUAUAUUAUCAUUUCCACAUUUUCAUUCUUUUUUCUUAAUUCAAUAUUUUGAGUAACUAAUAAAAAUAAAUAAAUCAAUUAAUUUAACAAUUUUCAUAGUCAAAAUUCAUUGCAAUGCAAUUCAAUUCAUUAAUUUAACUUUUUGAUGAGCCCUUCAAAUGUGUAUUUAUAUUGACUGAGAUCCUAUUUUCAUGAUUGCAAAUUACUUAAAAAGUGCUUUAUUUGCAAUAUUUCUAUACUUCCAAUAUUUUUUUAACAUAAUUUAGAUGUUUUUAUAACAUACCGAAUUGCUCAAUGACUAGUAAAAUGUUCCAUCUUAUAUGAGAACUAAAAAUAAACUUAUCGACCAUUAUAUUUAAAAUUAUAUUAGAAUACGUUAAAAUCGAUUUUACAAAACUUUCAUCCAAAUUACAAUUAAAUGAAUUUAACUUGUGAAGGGUUAAAAAAAAUCAGUAGGGAAGGUGUUGCUGGUGUAGGAAAUAAGCAUGCAGGUCUUUCCGACGGCACCAUCGCCGACGGUGACGCACUUAAUGAACCUAGAGGCACUCAUUUCUGCCACCCGAUCUCUUUCCCCACUCUUACUAAUAAAACUAUCAGUAACGUUCUUCAAUAAAAGCAAUGCCCUUGGCGUUGCCUAUCUUUUUGUUCUGAUUCUUUAUAUCCGAAAUCAAUUUUCGACUGAUAAUUGGUCAUCACCAGCUCAACGAUUUUUUAAAAAAACUGUAUUUACAUGUACAUUGACAGACACCACCAAGAACCCUAAACGGAGAUUCAGAUUGAAAGCAUUAAUAACCCUAAUGCGAUGCGAUGCGAUGCGAGAAGAGAAAGAGCAAAAAGAGAGAGAUGGUGAAGAGAAGAGGAUGUUUUGAUUGGAGCCUACGGGAAUGGAAAGGAAAGGGAUUUGCGGUUGAAGAGUUAGGCUGACCUAGACAACUCCUGCCAGCUAUGUAUCUAACC
RNAcentral lists this long non-coding RNA (1239 nucleotides) under Jatropha curcas. RNAcentral describes it as "long non-coding RNA (JCUR_LNC001412)". The record is from RNAcentral. Lineage: Eukaryota; Viridiplantae; Streptophyta; Magnoliopsida; Malpighiales; Euphorbiaceae.